AGUAGUCUCCAGAGGUUACACUACGUGUAUAUCAGCAGUAGUCUCCAGAGGUUACACUAGGUGUAUAUCAGCAGUAGUCUCCAGACAGAGGUUACACUAGGUGUAUGUCAGUAGCAGUCUCCAGACAGAGGUUACACUAGGUGUAUAUCAG
Oncorhynchus keta (chum salmon) is the source of this 151-nucleotide long non-coding RNA. RefSeq lists it as uncharacterized. The transcript has 3 exons. The record is from RefSeq and is a predicted model, not a curated record. NCBI's taxonomy places the organism in Eukaryota, Metazoa, Chordata, Actinopteri, Salmoniformes, Salmonidae.